Eufriesea mexicana is the source of this 527-nucleotide long non-coding RNA. RefSeq lists it as uncharacterized. The record is from RefSeq and is a predicted model, not a curated record. NCBI's taxonomy places the organism in Eukaryota, Metazoa, Arthropoda, Insecta, Hymenoptera, Apidae. The transcript is spliced from 3 exons.
AAAUCAAUGUGCAUCGUUUCGUGAGAUACAUACUCGGUCGAUAUCUGACAAUACGAGAGUUCACUGUGAUCGUAGCAACAACGAUACGUCAAUUCAAGAAUAGAACUACGACGAGCCAAUGGCAUGCACGUGAUAAAAAUCCUGAAGUAUACCUAUGUAAAAUGCAACAGGCAAUUCAUCUAAGUCAGAAUCAAUUAAUAAAAUAAACUAAAUCCUCCUAUCUUCAAGAGGAAUUAAUUUUUAAAAAGGAACAUUACUUUAGUCAGGCGAAACUUCUCAAGCUGAUCGCACGCGACACGUACAUGCGUACUUCACAUUACGAGCCUAGGCGAGGAGAAUAGUUACAGAAAUAACUGGUGACUCAAUAUUUAGGCAGCACUGAUUUGCCACAGCACAUUUAGCACAGAUAAGCACGUGGGUUCAUAUCGAUUCUAUAUGAUCAAAAAUUGAUGAUUCAUAAUUUGAGAAGUGUAGUUUGACUCUGCCCCUUCUUGAUGCGACAUCUAUGAGAAUAAUUUUGACUAAUG